This 163-nucleotide ribosomal RNA is filed under the name uncultured bacterium. RNAcentral's name for it is "partial 16S ribosomal RNA". It matches the Rfam family "Bacterial small subunit ribosomal RNA", at positions 355 to 509 of the family's 1533-position model. The record is from RNAcentral.
UGGGGAAUAUUGCACAAUGGGGGAAACCCUGAUGCAGCGACGCCGCGUGAGCGAAGAAGUAUUUCGGUAUGUAAAGCUCUAUCAGCAGGGGAAAAAGGAAGGAAAGAGGAAAUGCUUUUCUUUGGAUGGUACCCGGCCAGAAAGUCACGGCUAACUACGUGCC